GGGCGUAUGGUCUAGAGGUAUGAUACCUGCUUUGGGCGAUUGUUCAUUGCAGGGGGUCUUCGGUUCGAAUCCGGAUUCGCCCC
RNAcentral lists this transfer RNA (83 nucleotides) under Lentinula edodes (shiitake mushroom). RNAcentral describes it as "tRNA-Pro". It matches the Rfam family "tRNA". Rfam says of the family: Transfer RNA (tRNA) molecules are approximately 80 nucleotides in length. Their secondary structure includes four short double-helical elements and three loops (D, anti-codon, and T loops). Lineage: Eukaryota; Fungi; Basidiomycota; Agaricomycetes; Agaricales; Omphalotaceae. The record is from RNAcentral.